RNAcentral lists this long non-coding RNA (228 nucleotides) under Mytilus galloprovincialis (Mediterranean mussel). Lineage: Eukaryota; Metazoa; Mollusca; Bivalvia; Mytilida; Mytilidae. The record is from RNAcentral.
GUGGGAAGUGUUGUUAAACACCAUUCAAUCAAUCAGAUAGUUCUUUGAAUUGUGUUUUCUAUUUUGUCAGAUGAGGUGCCUCUCAUGUUUGGGUUUUGCCUCUUGUAACAGUGUAAACUGUCAGAGUGUACAAUAAAAUCUUGAAUCUUGCUCAUUCUUCAUAAAUCAUACAGACCCAUACACUGUACAUCAUUCAAUCGUUGGUCACAGUGGCAAUCACACCAUAUA